Molecule: ribosomal RNA, 253 nt
Filed under: uncultured bacterium
Lineage: Bacteria
Description: partial 16S ribosomal RNA
Rfam family: Bacterial small subunit ribosomal RNA
Source: RNAcentral
UACGUAGGGUGCGAGCGUUAAUCGGAAUUACUGGGCGUAAAGCGUGCGCAGGCGGUUCGUUGUGUCGGCGGUGAAAGCCCCGGGCUUAACCUGGGAAUGGCCGUUGAAACUGGCGAACUGGAGUGUGGCAGAGGGGGGUGGAAUUCCUGGUGUAGCGGUGAAAUGCGCAGAUAUCAGGAAGAACACCCGUGGCUAAGGCGGCUCUCUAGUACGGUACUGACGCUGAGACGCGAAAGCGUGGGGAGCGAACAGG